RNAcentral lists this ribosomal RNA (280 nucleotides) under Candidatus Uhrbacteria bacterium. RNAcentral's name for it is "partial 23S ribosomal RNA". It matches the Rfam family "Bacterial large subunit ribosomal RNA", at positions 1 to 285 of the family's 2925-position model. Lineage: Bacteria; Candidatus Uhriibacteriota. The record is from RNAcentral.
CGAGAUAAUAGUAAGGGCACACGGUGAAUGCCUUGGCGUCAAAAGGCGAUGAAGGACGUAGCAGUCUGCGAAAAGCUUCGGGGAGGCGACAAGCAACCUUUGAUCCGAAGAUCUCCGAAUGGGGAAACCCACCUUGAUGGAAGAUCAGGGUAUCCUGUCUAAAGAACAGGAGGAUAACCCGGUGAAGUGAAACAUCUCAGUAGCCGGAGGAAAAGAGAACAAGAGUUUAUUCCCGUAGUAGCGGCGAGCGAAAUGGGAAGAGCCAAAACCAGAAGAAUUC